GACAGAGGGUGCAAACGUUGUUCGGAAUUACUGGGCGUAAAGCGAGUGUAGGCGGUGAGAUAAGUCGGACGUGAAAGCCCGGGGCUCAACCUCGGAAGUGCGCUCGAUACUGUCUCGCUUGAGUGUCGGAGAGGUUGGUGGAAUUCUGGGUGUAGAGGUGAAAUUCGUAGAUAUCCAGAGGAACACCGGUGGCGAAGGCGGCCAACUGGACGACGACUGACGCUGAGACUCGAAAGUGUGGGGAGCAAACAGG
RNAcentral lists this ribosomal RNA (253 nucleotides) under uncultured bacterium. Its description in RNAcentral is "partial 16S ribosomal RNA". It matches the Rfam family "Bacterial small subunit ribosomal RNA", at positions 524 to 776 of the family's 1533-position model. The record is from RNAcentral.